AGGGGAAACGGCAUUAAGUGCUUGCACUUUUUGGACGUCGACCGGCGCACGGGUGAGUAACGCGUAUCCAACCUUCCCAUGACUAAGGGAUAACCUGCCGAAAGGCAGACUAAUACCUUAUGGUCUUCACUGACGGCAUCAGAUGUGAAGUAAAGAUUUAUCGGUUAUGGAUGGGGAUGCGUCUGAUUAGCUUGUUGGCGGGGUAACGGCCCACCAAGGCAACGAUCAGUAGGGGUUCUGAGAGGAAGGUCCCCCACAUUGGAACUGAGACACGGUCCAAACUCCUACGGGAGGCAGCAGUGAGGAAUAUUGGUCAAUGGGCGAGAGCCUGAACCAGCCAAGUAGCGUGCAGGAUGACGGCCCUAUGGGUUGUAAACUGCUUUUGUAUGGGGAUAAAGUCAGUCACGUGUGAUUGUUUGCAGGUACCAUACGAAUAAGGACCGGCUAAUUCCGUGCCAGCAGCCGCGGUAAUACGGAAGGUCCGGGCGUUAUCCGGAUUUAUUGGGUUUAAAGGGAGCGUAGGCUGGAGAUUAAGUGUGUUGUGAAAUGUAGACGCUCAACGUCUGACUUGCAGCGCAUACUGGUUUCCUUGAGUACGCACAACGUUGGCGGAAUUCGUCGUGUAGCGGUGAAAUGCUUAGAUAUGACGAAGAACUCCGAUUGCGAAGGCAGCUGACGGGAGCGCAACUGACG
RNAcentral lists this ribosomal RNA (693 nucleotides) under uncultured Bacteroidales bacterium. RNAcentral's name for it is "bacterial SSU rRNA". It matches the Rfam family "Bacterial small subunit ribosomal RNA", at positions 65 to 745 of the family's 1533-position model. Lineage: Bacteria; Pseudomonadati; Bacteroidota; Bacteroidia; Bacteroidales. The record is from RNAcentral.